AGCCCACCCUAGCCCAACUACCUCAUAAGAACUAACUCCAACCUUAAACUAAAACAUUCUCCCGUCUAAGUAUAGGCGAUAGAAAAGACACUAGGAGCGAUAGACUUCCAGUACCGUAAGGGAAAGAUGAAAUAACAAUGAAAAACCUAAGCGACAAACAGCAAAGACAAACCCUUGUACCUCUUGCAUCAUGAUUUAGCAAGAACAACCAAGCAAAAUGAAUCUUAAGCUUGCCACCCCGAAACCCAAGCGAGCUACUCACAAGCAGCUACCCUUGAGCAAACCCGUCUCUGUAGCAAAAGAGUGGGAAGACUUGUUAGUAGAGGUGAAAAGCCUACCGAGCUGGGUGAUAGCUGGUUGCCUGUGAAAUGAAUCUAAGUUCUCCCUUAAUUUUACCUCCCCUGCAAAACUCGAACACUUGCCCGUAGCAAAUUAAGAGUAAUUUAAAGGAGGAACAGCUCCUUUAAAAAAGAAUACAACCUUCCCCAGAGGAUAAGCAUUCUACCCUUCGAACUUGUAGGCCUUUAAGCAGCCACCAAUAAAGAGUGCGUCAAAGCUCCGACCCCAUAAAAAUACAGAAAUAAAUGCGACUCCCUCACCCACAACAGGCUAACCUAUCUUAAAUAGGAGCAUCAAUGCUAGAAUAAGUAACCGAGGAACCUCCUUCUGAAGCACAAACUUACAUCCCUCUAUCCAAAAUUAUUAACAGGCUCACCAAUACUACAACCAUUACAAGAACCAAGUAUUUAAUAUAUCCCCUGUUAAACCAACUCAGGAGUGCCCAAUUAGAAAGAUUCAAACCUGCAAAAGGAACUAGGCAAACCCAAGGCCCGACUGUUUACCAAAAACAUAGCCUUCAGCUCAACAAGUAUUGAAGGUGACGCCUGCCCAGUGACAUAAAGUUUAACGGCCGCGGUAUCCUAACCGUGCAAAGGUAGCGCAAUCAAUUGUCCCACAAAUCGAGACUUGUAUGAAUGGCCAAACGAGGUCUUAACUGUCUCUUGCAAGUAAUCAGUGAAAUUGAUCUCCCCGUGCAAAAGCGGGGAUAAAUUCAUAAGACGAGAAGACCCUGUGGAACUUAAAAACCAGCAGCCACCCCAAACCACAUCUAAACCUACAAGGUUCACAACCAAGAACAACUGGCUAGCAUUUUUUCGGUUGGGGCGACCUUGGAGAAAAACAUAUCCUCCAAAAAUAAGACCAUAUAUCUUAACCAAGAUCAACCACUCAACGUACUAACAGUAACCAGACCCAGCAUAGCUGAUCAAUGGACCAAGCUACCCCAGGGAUAACAGCGCUAUCCCCCUCAAGAGCCCAUAUCGACAGGGGGGUUUACGACCUCGAUGUUGGAUCAGGACAUCCUAAUGGUGCAGCCGCUAUUAAGGGUUCGUUUGUUCAACGAUUAAUUAGUCCUACGUGAUCUGAGUUCAGACCGGAGCAAUCCAGGUCGGUUUCUAUCUAUGAUUAACUUCUCCUAGUACGAAAGGACCGGAAAAGUAAGGCCAAUACCCCAAGCACGCCUUCCCCCAAAAGUAGUGAACUCAUCUAAACUACCAAAGGGACUUUAAUCGUAUAAUCCUAAACAAGGAUG
This 1591-nucleotide ribosomal RNA is filed under the name Zapornia akool (brown crake). RNAcentral's name for it is "16S ribosomal RNA". It matches the Rfam family "Bacterial large subunit ribosomal RNA", at positions 264 to 2830 of the family's 2925-position model. The record is from RNAcentral. Lineage: Eukaryota; Metazoa; Chordata; Aves; Gruiformes; Rallidae.